Non-coding RNA from Fusarium tricinctum, 79 nucleotides. The record is from the annotation of a GenBank genome assembly. NCBI's taxonomy places the organism in Eukaryota, Fungi, Ascomycota, Sordariomycetes, Hypocreales, Nectriaceae.
GGUCGAGUGGUGUAGUGGUUAUCACGUCUGCUUCACAUGAGUGCGCAGAAGGCCCCGGGUUCAAUCCCCGGUUUGACCU